RNA transcript from Homo sapiens (human), 4562 nucleotides. It is a transcript of the gene named tumor protein D52, with no coding region annotated. The record is from RefSeq and is marked validated. Lineage: Eukaryota; Metazoa; Chordata; Mammalia; Primates; Hominidae. The transcript has 9 exons.
AGUGUCUGAUGUUUGCCUGAACUGUUUGUACCUCUGGGCCAUAUUGCAGAACCCUGCCCUUCUUUGUUGACUGAGGAAAGCUCGCUCCCUGCCCAGGUUUUUCAUUGUUGAUCGAAAUUAACACCAGGUGGUGAAUAGAGCCCCUCCUAAGGUUGCUCAGGAUAAAUCAUUUAUUAAAUAGGUCUGCUUAUCAGGAGGGGCGUGAAGGCUCCCAAAAGGAAAUGCUGGCACCUGGGCCCAGAAGCCAGGGCCUCUAACUCCUGGGGUUGAUUUCUUCAGUGAAGUUGCACCCUACAAAGGGAAUAUGGCCAAAGCGGCACUCAACUGAAGGCUGAUAUCAGGCGAUUAGACAGCCAUGCAUUCUGCGUUUGUCUGGAAUGGAUUGUAGAGAGAUGGACUUAUAUGAGGACUACCAGUCCCCGUUUGAUUUUGAUGCAGGAGUGAACAAAAGCUAUCUCUACUUGUCUCCUAGUGGAAAUUCAUCUCCACCCGGAUCACCUACUCUUCAGAAAUUUGGUCUGCUGAGAACAGACCCAGUCCCUGAGGAAGGAGAAGAUGUUGCUGCCACGAUCAGUGCCACAGAGACCCUCUCGGAAGAGGAGCAGGAAGAGCUAAGAAGAGAACUUGCAAAGGUAGAAGAAGAAAUCCAGACUCUGUCUCAAGUGUUAGCAGCAAAAGAGAAGCAUCUAGCAGAGAUCAAGCGGAAACUUGGAAUCAAUUCUCUACAGGAACUAAAACAGAACAUUGCCAAAGGGUGGCAAGACGUGACAGCAACAUCUGCGAGGAGCAAGCUUCUAGCAGCAGAAACCGAACUGCUCUGUCUUCUGUAUUGAGAGCCAUCUGCAGAGCUGUUACAAGAAGACAUCUGAAACCUUAUCCCAGGCUGGACAGAAGGCCUCAGCUGCUUUUUCGUCUGUUGGCUCAGUCAUCACCAAAAAGCUGGAAGAUGUAAAAUUGCAAGCCUUUUCACAUUCCUUUAGUAUACGUUCCAUUCAGCAUUCAAUUAGCAUGCCUGCUAUGAGAAACUCCCCAACUUUUAAAUCAUUUGAAGAAAAGGUCGAAAACUUAAAGUCUAAAGUAGGGGGAACCAAGCCUGCUGGUGGUGAUUUUGGAGAAGUCUUGAAUUCGGCUGCAAAUGCUAGUGCCACCACCACGGAGCCUCUUCCAGAAAAGACACAGGAGAGCCUGUGAGAUUCCUACCUUUGUUCUGCUACCCACUGCCAGAUGCUGCAAGCGAGGUCCAAGCACAUCUUGUCAACAUGCAUUGCCAUGAAUUUCUACCAGAUGUGCUUUUAUUUAGCUUUACAUAUUCCUUUGACCAAAUAGUUUGUGGGUUAAACAAAAUGAAAAUAUCUUCACCUCUAUUCUUGGGAAACACCCUUUAGUGUACAUUUAUGUUCCUUUAUUUAGGAAACACCAUUAUAAAAACACUUAUAGUAAAUGGGGACAUUCACUAUAAUGAUCUAAGAAGCUACAGAUUGUCAUAGUUGUUUUCCUGCUUUACAAAAUUGCUCCAGAUCUGGAAUGCCAGUUUGACCUUUGUCUUCUAUAAUAUUUCCUUUUUUUCCCCUCUUUGAAUCUCUGUAUAUUUGAUUCUUAACUAAAAUUGUUCUCUUAAAUAUUCUGAAUCCUGGUAAUUAAAAGUUUGGGUGUAUUUUCUUUACCUCCAAGGAAAGAACUACUAGCUACAAAAAAUAUUUUGGAAUAAGCAUUGUUUUGGUAUAAGGUACAUAUUUUGGUUGAAGACACCAGACUGAAGUAAACAGCUGUGCAUCCAAUUUAUUAUAGUUUUGUAAGUAACAAUAUGUAAUCAAACUUCUAGGUGACUUGAGAGUGGAACCUCCUAUAUCAUUAUUUAGCACCGUUUGUGACAGUAACCAUUUCAGUGUAUUGUUUAUUAUACCACUUAUAUCAACUUAUUUUUCACCAGGUUAAAAUUUUAAUUUCUACAAAAUAACAUUCUGAAUCAAGCACACUGUAUGUUCAGUAGGUUGAACUAUGAACACUGUCAUCAAUGUUCAGUUCAAAAGCCUGAAAGUUUAGAUCUAGAAGCUGGUAAAAAUGACAAUAUCAAUCACAUUAGGGGAACCAUUGUUGUCUUCACUUAAUCCAUUUAGCACUAUUUAAAAUAAGCACACCAAGUUAUAUGACUAAUAUAACUUGAAAAUUUUUUAUACUGAGGGGUUGGUGAUAACUCUUGAGGAUGUAAUGCAUUAAUAAAAAUCAACUCAUCAUUUUCUACUUGUUUUCAAUGUGUUGGAAACUGUAAAAUGAUACUGUAGAACCUGUCUCCUACUUUGAAAACUGAAUGUCAGGGCUGAGUGAAUCAAAGUGUCUAGACAUAUUUGCAUAGAGGCCAAGGUAUUCUAUUCUAAUAACUGCUUACUCAACACUACCACCUUUUCCUUAUACUGUAUAUGAUUAUGGCCUACAAUGUUGUAUUUGUUAUUUAUUAAAUUGUGAUUGUUUUAUUAUUGUUUAUGCCAAAUGUUAACUGCCAAGCUUGGAGUGACCUAAAGCAUUUUUUAAAAGCAUGGCUAGAUUUACUUCAGUAUAAAUUAUCUUAUGAAAACCAAAUUUUAAAAGCCACAGGUGUUGAUUGUUAUAAAAUAACAUGCUGCCAUUCUUGAUUGCUAGAGUUUUUGUUAGUACUUUGGAUGCAAUUAAAACUAUGUGCUAUCACAUGUGAAAAGCUUAAUAAAUUCCAUCUAUCAGUAGUAUAGGUCUCAAUAUUUAUUAUGAGACCAGUGGUCUGGAAACAGCUUGUUGUACCGAAUCAACUGGAGUCUAUGCUUAAAAAAAAAAAAUUUUUUUUUAACCAUCCUUAAAUUAUUGCUUAAUGGUAUCAUAUUAACAUAUUCUAAAUAAGGGCUUUAAGGCACAGGCUGUUGAAGCAUUUUCUCAGAGGAGUGGAUCUGUAGAAGUCUGUCUUUCUAUAGAAAUAUUGUGCUUACUCAAGUGUUAAAUUAUUUUUUCUAUGAACUAGUCUACUUCUUAAAAUUCAAACAUAUUCUUUUGAUCACAUUGUUUCUUGAGCAUCCUGCCCUGCUACUAACUUUUCAACAAGGCAAAAUGGAGUAAAGUGGCAAUUUCUUUAGAUGAGUGAAAUACCCUCAAGUCUCUUUUCUGCCCAAAAAGGGAAAAGUGAUAGAAAUGGGGGUGGCAAGUGGGGUGAGUGGAUGAAGGUGGGUAUUGGGGGUGGCUGUGAAAGAAAAUAAUGGAGAAUCACUUUUCUAGACAUCUACCUAUACUUAAUCUAAGAAACAAAGUAAUCUACUGUAAAGUACUCUGCCCCUUGAAAGAAGUAUUAAAAAGAGUGAGGAUGGAUUUAGAAAAAAACAUGAAUUUAGAAAUAUUCAAAAUGGUUUUUGUGGCAGAUUCAAUAUUAUGAAUUCACAGAUAUUUAAAGAAUGAGAAACAUAGUAAUUAGUAGAAAUGCCAGAAACAGUUCCUGGUUCCUCUUGUGUUUGACACUAAGAAAAUAGCAAGAGUGUGAAAUCUCAGAUACUUAUGAAAUCUCACAGAUGUAAGGACUCAAGUGUAGAAGAAAAUAUCCCCUUCUUACAAAAAGAAAUGUCAAUUUAUGGAGUUUGUGGGAAAUAGGGCAAGAAUUCUUAUGCUUAUGAGAGCCAAGUAGUCAGUGGAAGAGAGUAGAGCUCAAAACUGGAUUAUCACCUUAGCAACUUAGAAUAGUUUGAAAUAGAAAAAAAGUAUUUAAUUUGGAUCUGGAUCUGUUAAGAUAUGCACAGUCUAUUUUUUGUAUAGUAUUGGAAAAUAAAAAUGCUAUAAUUUGGGUAUGGGUUCUUUUGUAUACAUUACCUGCCCAUUGAGGAAAGGGGCAAGUCCAUUAUGCAACUUCUCUCCAAACCCUUCAUAUUCUGGAUAUGAUACUUAAAGAGCCAUGAGCAGCUACAUUCUGCCUAUCAGAAGGCAUUUAUUAAAUGACUGCUUGCUGAAGAUGUGUCCAAAGAGAUCCUACAUUAAGGUCAUUUGUCAGAAUGAUGUUUGUGUUUGUUUAGAGUUGGCUGACCUCCAACUCCUGGGGUCAAGGAAUCCUACUGCCUUAGCUUCCCAAAUAGCUAGGACUAUAGGCAUGCACCCGGCCAUGUGUUUUAUUUAUAGCUCUUAAAGCCCAGAUGAAGAAAUCACAUUUUUGCCCAUAGUGAAGAAACAUUUGGCCAUUGAUUAGUCCUUAUUUUCAGUGACUGUCCUGUUUUCAUUAGAUUAGAGAGACCCUGUGUGGGCCACAGUUAAUAUAAACCAUUAUCACUUUUAAGUAAACCUGCACAUCUUAGAUUUCAUAAUUUCCUUAUUGUUCUGACUCAAAAUGAACUAAGAGCUUUUCACUUUUUGUUUGUAAGUUCUCAGAGAGUCGGGUCUGCAAGUGCUUUUGCCUGCCAGGAUUUUGUACUCAAAUAAAUGCUAUUUGGCAACUAAAAUUCUUGCCAGCUCUCAUGUAAUUUUGAUGUUACUGAGGUUGGUUGGUAGUUUAUUUUAUUAAUUUUGUGGUUCUUCUAUCAUAUAGAAAAAGCCAAAUACAGUUUUGUUUGAAUAUUUGUAAA